GAUGAUCAAGAUGAUUUUCUAUGGAACCUAAGAUGAUCUAAAGCACUUACAAGUUAAAGCAAGUAUUUUCAUCCAUUCAAGAGCAUUCUACCAUCAAGAUCAUCAUCUUCUUAGUUCUUAAUCAUCCUCUAGAUCAUCCCUAGCCUAGUGCUAGAAGUAAUUAGUGGACCAUGUCGGAAUUCAUAGUCAAGAUAACAAGUACUGGAACUCCAUGCCAUCUUUUGGAGGGUUUAUCUAUUAUAUUCCGCGAUAUGACUGUUUAAACCUUAGUAGUUUAUUUUCAUUUUGAUGUAUGAGCUAUAACACUUUACUUUUAUGUUAAUGGUUUGUAACCGACACACUAAACUUAUGUUGUAAUGUUUUGAAACACCUAUGUAAUAGCAAUGGAAUCACACCUCGCGCUUCCGCUAUGA
Molecule: long non-coding RNA, 413 nt
Filed under: Helianthus annuus (common sunflower)
Lineage: Eukaryota; Viridiplantae; Streptophyta; Magnoliopsida; Asterales; Asteraceae
Description: hypothetical non coding rna
Source: RNAcentral